RNAcentral lists this ribosomal RNA (301 nucleotides) under uncultured bacterium. RNAcentral's name for it is "partial 16S ribosomal RNA". It matches the Rfam family "Bacterial small subunit ribosomal RNA", at positions 509 to 807 of the family's 1533-position model. The record is from RNAcentral.
CAGUAGCCACGGUAAUACGAAGGGUGUAAGCGUUAAUCGGAAUUACUGGGCGUAAAGCGUGCGUAGGCGGUUUGUUAAGUCUGAUGUGAAAGCCCCGGGCUCAACCUGGGAAUGGCAAUGGAUACUGGCGAGCUAGAGUGUGUCAGAGGAUGGUGGAAUUCCCGGUGUAGCGGUGAAAUGCGUAGAGAUCGGGAGGAACAUCAGUGGCGAAGGCGGCCAUCUGGGACAACACUGACGCUGAGGCACGAAAGCGUGGGGAGCAAACAGGAUUAGAUACCCCUGUAGUCCCUGUCUCUUAUAC